RNAcentral lists this ribosomal RNA (253 nucleotides) under uncultured bacterium. RNAcentral's name for it is "partial 16S ribosomal RNA". It matches the Rfam family "Bacterial small subunit ribosomal RNA", at positions 524 to 776 of the family's 1533-position model. The record is from RNAcentral.
UACGGAGGUCGCGAGCGUUACCCGGAUUUACUGGGCGUAAAGGGCGUGUAGGCGGCCUGGGGCGUCCCAUGUGAAAGGCCACGGCUCAACCGUGGAGGAGCGUGGGAUACGCUCAGGCUAGACGGUGGGAGAGGGUGGUGGAAUUCCCGGAGUAGCGGUGAAAUGCGCAGAUACCGGGAGGAACGCCGAUGGCGAAGGCAGCUACCUGGCUCACUUGUGACGCUGAGGCGCGAAAGCGUGGGGAGCAAACCGG